UACAGAGGUAGACUGAGGUUCUUUCCUGUUUGGUAACAGAGGUAGACUGGGGUUCUUUCCUGUUUGGUAAUGUACAGAGGUAGACUGGGGUUCUUUCCUGUUUGGUAAUGUACAGAGGUAGACUGGGGUUCUUUCCUGUUUGGUAAUGUACAGAGGUAGACUGGGGUUCUUUCCUGUUUGGUAAUGUACAGAGGUAGACUGAGGUUCUUUCCUGUUUGGUAACAGAGGUAGACUGAGGUUCUUUCCUGUUUGGUAAUGUACAGAGGUAGACUGGGGUUCUUUCCUGUUUGGUAAUGUACAGAGGUAGACUGAGGUUCUUUCCUGUUUGGUAAUGUACAGAGGUAGACUGAGGUUCUUUCCUGUUUGGUAAUGUACAGAGGUAGACUGGGGUUCUUUCCUGUUUGGUAAUGUACAGAGGUAGACUGGGGUUCUUUCCUGUUCUGUAAUGUACAGAGGUAGACUGGGGUUAUUUCCUGUUUGGUAAUGUACAGAGGUAGACAGGUUCUGUCCUGUUUGGUAAUGUACAGAGGUAGACUGGGGUUCUUUCCUGUUUGGUAAUGUACAGAGGUAGACUGAGGUUCUUUCCUGUUUGGUAAUGUACAGAGGUAGACUGGGGUUCUUUCCUGUUUGGUAAUGUACAGAGGUAGACUGGGGUUCUUUCCUGUUUGGUAAUGUACAGAGGUAGACUGGGGUUCUUUCCUGUUUGGUAAUGUACAGAGGUAGACUGGGGUUAUUUCCUGUUUGGUAAUGUACAGAGGUAGACUGGGGUUAUUUCCUGUUUGGUAAUGUACAGAGGUAGACUGGGGUUCUUUCCUGUUUGGUAAUGUACAGAGGUAGACUGGGGUUCUUUCCUGUUUGGUAAUGUACAGAGGUAGACUGGGGUUCUUUCCUGUUUGGUAAUGUACAGAGGUAGACUGGGGUUCUUUCCUGUUUGGUAAUGUACAGAGGUAGACUGGGGUUCUUUCCUGUUUGGUAAUGUACAGAGGUAGACUGGGGUUCUUUCCUGUUUGGUAAUGUACAGAGGUAGACUGGGGUUCUUUCCUGUUUGGUAAUGUACAGAGGUAGACUGGGGUUAUUUCCUGUUUGGUAAUGUACAGAGGUAGACUGGGGUUCUUUCCUGUUUGGUAAUGUACAGAGGUAGACUGGGGUUCUUUCCUGUUUGGUAAUGUACAGAGGUAGUCUGGGGUUCUUUCCUGUUUGGUAAUGUACAGAGGUAGUCUGGGGUUCUUUCCUGUUUGGUAAUGUACAGAGGUAGACAGGUUCUUUCCUGUUUAGUAAUGUACAGAGGUAGACUGAGGGUCUUUACUGAAGAAUAGUUGGUUGAGGCUCAGUUUUCUGUG
This is a long non-coding RNA of Oncorhynchus keta (chum salmon), 1340 nucleotides long. RefSeq lists it as uncharacterized. The record is from RefSeq and is a predicted model, not a curated record. Lineage: Eukaryota; Metazoa; Chordata; Actinopteri; Salmoniformes; Salmonidae. The transcript is spliced from 11 exons.